UCGAGAAUCUUUCACAAUGGGGGCAACCCUGAUGGAGCGACGCCGCGUGGAGGAUAAGGUCUUCGGAUUGUAAACUCCUGUCAUGCGAGAACAAGGUAGUUGGGUUAAUAACCUAGCUGCUUGAUGGUACCGCAAGAGGAAGAGACGGCUAACUCUGUGCCAGCAGCCGCGGUAAUACAGAGGUCUCAAGCGUUGUUCGGAAUCACUGGGCGUAAAGGGUGCGUAGGCUGCGCCGUAAGUCAGAUGUGAA
This 250-nucleotide ribosomal RNA is filed under the name uncultured bacterium. Its description in RNAcentral is "partial 16S ribosomal RNA". It matches the Rfam family "Bacterial small subunit ribosomal RNA", at positions 355 to 598 of the family's 1533-position model. The record is from RNAcentral.